GAAAUCUUCAGUAGCACAUAUACUACAAUUGGAAUGAUAAACAGAAGACUAGCAUGGCCCCCUACACAAGACAUGACAAUUCUUGAGGCAUUCCAUAUUUUU
Molecule: small nuclear RNA, 102 nt
Organism: Heterocephalus glaber (naked mole-rat)
Lineage: Eukaryota; Metazoa; Chordata; Mammalia; Rodentia; Bathyergidae
Source: Ensembl